Alexandromys fortis (reed vole) is the source of this 4881-nucleotide RNA transcript. It is a transcript of the gene named unk like zinc finger, with no coding region annotated. The transcript is spliced from 15 exons. NCBI's taxonomy places the organism in Eukaryota, Metazoa, Chordata, Mammalia, Rodentia, Cricetidae. The record is from RefSeq and is a predicted model, not a curated record.
GGGCUGCGGCCCGUGGCCUCCGGGACGCUGCGGCGCAGGGGAGCGGCUCGCGCGCGCCCCGGGCCCGGGUGUCGCCGCUGAGGGUGCGCCCCGCCCGCGCCCCCGCCACCAGCCCUUGCGGGUCACGCCGUCCGUGCGCGGGCCGCCGCCUGAGGUGGAGAGGUGGCGCCCGGGGUCUUCGGUGACCAUUGGCCUGGGGGCUGGGCUUGCUUCUGGUCUCCCGCGACCCUGUGAGCCAGGCUGGAGUCUGGGAACAGCGCUUGCGUUCCGGGCUCAGGGCCGCGCCUGGGCUGGAGAUGGACGCACGACCACCCGGACGCGGGCUGUCGUCGCCCGAGCUUGAGAGGCGGCGCCCAGGGUCUGGGGUGGCUUCUGGGUUGGAGGCGGAGUCGCACCUAGGGUCGGAUGGACGCUUGGGCUGUGAGCCUGGGGGUCGUUUCUGCGGCGUAGAAGAGGGGUUGCGCUUGGUGUGGGCGGGUGGAGCUUGCAGUCCAUCUGGAACCCGAGAAGGGAGUUGCGCGGGAGUCGGUUGGUGGGGUCUGGGGAUUGAGAGGUGGCGCCUGGGGUCAGGGACUGUAUCGAAGGGGGCGGAGAAUGGAGUCUAGUUGUGAAGUUAUCUGGGAUCGGACUUGGGGUGACACGCUCCGAGGAGGUGUGCGUCUUGAGUUGGGAGAUCUUAUCUGGGGACUGGGAAGUGGUAUUUGGGGUCAAGGGAUUGAGAAUCUGUUUGGAGUUACCUGGUCUCUGAGUUGGGGAGUGGCGCCUGGGGUCCAGGGACUGUGCCCGUGGAAAGGGGAGGGUACCAGGCCGUGGAAGUCAGAUGGACUCGGGCGGUAGGUGGGCGGGGGAGGGGUGGCUUCGUGUCUGGGACCCUGCCCCGCCGCGUCCCAGGGGCCUCCAGCCGGCGGCGGCUGCGGCCCGCAACGCUGUUUGUCUUUUUAGGUAUCUAAAGGAGUUUAGGACAGAGCAGUGCUCCCUGUUUUUGCAGCAUAAGUGCAGCCAGCACAGGCCGUUCACCUGUUUCCAUUGGCAUUUCCUAAAUCAGCGUCGGCGCAGACCGCUCCGACGGCGGGAUGGCACCUUCAACUACAGCCCGGACGUUUACUGCUCCAAGUACGAUGAGGCCACCGGCCUGUGUCCUGACGGCGACGAAUGCCCCUACCUGCAUCGAACAACUGGGGACACUGAGCGCAAGUACCACCUGCGCUACUACAAGACAGGCACAUGUAUCCAUGAAACAGAUGCACGGGGCCACUGUGUGAAGAAUGGCCUGCACUGUGCCUUCGCACAUGGGCCCCUGGACCUGCGGCCACCUGUGUGUGAUAUCAGGGAGCUUCAGGCUCAGGAAGCCCUGCAGAAUGGCCAACUCAGUGGUGGGGAUGGUGUACCUGAUCUGCAGCCUGGAGUCUUGGCCAGCCAGGCCAUGAUCGAGAAGAUCCUGGGUGAGGAUCCCCGGUGGCAAGACAGUAACUUCGUAUUGGGAAGCUAUAAGACAGAGCAGUGCCCAAAGCCACCACGCCUAUGUCGCCAGGGCUACGCCUGUCCACACUACCACAACAGCAGAGACCGCCGUCGGAACCCCAGGAGGUUCCAGUACAGGUCCACACCUUGCCCUAGUGUGAAACACGGUGACGAAUGGGGCGAGCCCUCACGGUGUGAGGGUGGGGACAGCUGUCAGUACUGCCAUUCCCGCACGGAGCAACAAUUCCAUCCUGAGAUCUACAAAUCUACAAAAUGCAACGAUAUGCGCCAGACUGGCUACUGCCCUCGGGGCCCUUUCUGUGCCUUUGCACACGUAGAGAAAAGCCUGGGAAUGGUGAAUGACUGGAGCUGCCGUGACCUCAGUUCCAACAGCGCCUCGACUUACAGCAGCCAGCCUGGAAGUGCCAAACGGAAAGACUCUCCCUCUGAAGGAAACCAGAAAACUAGUGAGGACAGCAAGCAGAACCACCUUGCUGUGUUCUCAGUGGUUCACCCACUGGCCCCCAGCAUAAGCUCCAGUGUGGCAUCUAGCCUGGCAUCCAGCACUGGCUCAGGUAGCUCCUCCCCCACCGCUCUGCCUACCCUCCCUGCCCGUGCCCUCCCACUGGAUCCAGCUGGCAACACUGUGGAGGCAGUUCUAGGUUCGGCCUUAGAUCUUCACCUUAGUGACAUAAAUAUCGCGUCCUUAGAUAAAGACUUGGAAGAGCAGGACCUUGGAUCGACAGGUCCCAGGUCGCUGGCAGGCUCAGCACCCGUCACCAUUCCGGGCUCCCUGCCCCGCUCGCCAUCCUUGCACUCGUCCUCAUCCCUGUCCACCUCCCCACUCAGCUCGCUCUCCCAGUCCCUGUCUGGGCCACUCGUCUCCUCGGCUAUGACGCCCCCCCAGCAGCCACCACCCCUCCGGUCGGAGCCGGCUACGCUGGGCUCUGCAGCCUCAUCUUACAGCUCUUUAGGUUUGAACGGCGUCCCUGGGAGCAUCUGGGACUUUGUUUCUGGCAGCUUCUCUCCUAGCCCAUCCCCCAUUCUGAACUCUGGCCCUUCGGCUUCCUCAAGUGCAAGUCCAAACAGUGCUGAGCUGGCACGGGUCAGGCGACAGCUAGAUGAAGCCAAAAGAAAGAUCAGGCAGUGGGAAGAGUCUUGGCAGCAAGUGAAGCAGGCCUGUGAUGCCUGGCAGAGAGAGGCUCAGGAGGCCAAGGAGAGAGCCCGUGUAGCGGACAAUGACCGGCAGUUGGCCCUGCAGAAGAAGGAGGAAGUGGAGGCCCAGGUAAAGCAGCUGCAGGAAGAACUAGAGGGCCUGGGUUUGUCCUCACUGCCAGGCCUACGGAGCUUGGGUGACAUCAACGACAUCCCUCUCCCCAAGCUGCAUUCCCUGCAGAGCCAGCUGCGCCUAGACCUGGAGGCUGUGGAUGGGGUGAUCUUCCAGCUUCGUGCCAAACAGUGUGUGGGCUGCCAGGAGAGGGCCCAUGGCACUGUCCUCCGGCCCUGCCAGCACCGUGUCUUAUGCGAGCUGUGUGCAGCCAAUACCCCCGAGUGCCCCUACUGCAAGGGCCAGCCCCUCCCAUGGUGACCAGAGCGAGACCUAUUCCUUCCCUGGUGAGCAGUGCAAAGGCCUCAGCAUGCCAUGUGCCACUUCAGUGUCGAAACUUGCCUCCAGUCCCACCCACGCCAGGAUACAAUUUCAUGCUAAUGAAAAAUGCAGCAAAGGAACCAGACAUUCAGAGGAGUCCAAGAUCUACUCGGAAGGAGCUUUGUUCUGAUGUCUUGUCUGUAAUGGCAACGGUGCUUUGUACCCUGAGUCACCCGGGGCACCCUAGCUUGUGCUGAACAAAGGGGCUGUGAACCUGAGACUUCAGUCUGCUGCCCCUGUGAUCACCCUCACUCACCGCUAGCUGAUCCAGAGAUUCUGGGACAGCUUUAGCAGACAUCUGGUACCUGAGCUGUGCAUCCAAUUAUGAUCAGAAUCCAUCCCAUGACGAGCAGCCCCAGCUCUGCUGCAGCUCACCCGGCAGCUUCCAAGGAAAAGGCAGCACCCUCACAGCUUGGCCUCAGGCCCAUGGCUAAAAUCCUGCUGAGAAUGUGUCUAGGGUGAUGACUUCAGCCUUCUAUAGUAAGGACUGGGACUGUUCCUGGAAAUCUAGGGAGGAGACAUCUGUCCAGGCAACCCCUGCUUUUGGUGGCAGACCUAGGCAGGGCAGGUAUCCUACCUGCAGGUUCUGCCCAGGCCUAGAAGUGGUUCUCCUCUCCCAUGGCUUUGCCAAAGACUUUUAAUAGCAUUUUUUAAGUGCAAAGUGACUAGGUAAAACGUUUUUAUCAGUGACCAAAUUAGAAUGUAUUUAAUAUAGUAGGAGAUUGAAACGCAUUUUCUAAUACAAGACAAACUGGUAGAAAAGCUCUAUCAUUUUAAAGGAAGUGGAUCCUCAACAUUCCGCAGCUAGCCCACUACUUAAUAAGGUAACUAUUGACCUGGUUUUAGUGAUACUUCGUUUCUAAUUAUAGUGGUAAUGAUUUAUUAGCUCAGUACCUAGAUCAUGUGUAUUUCGUGCUACUGUUACCAUGGUUUAAGAUUGUUUAUUUUUAUUCAUAUUUAUGCACUUGUUUCCCAUAUUGGCCUUUGGUCUCUGUGGUAACAGGACAAUAUUUGUGAUUGGUAGCUCAUCUGGACAUUCAAGCUGUAACAGUUACAAGCAUUAAGCUUUAGAUUGUGUGUGUAAGCUACUCUGGCCAACUCCUCCUGGGCUGACAUUCCGGGCUGGGGCUGUGGCAGUUAUGGGACUGCUGUGUGAUACAUCAGUCUACGGGGUCCCACCCAGUGACAGGAGUUUUCUUGAGCAUCUGCUUUCUGGAAUCAGGCUGGGCUCUGAGGACAGGUGUGCAGGGGGAAGACCAAAGAAGGGGCUACUUCUCCCAUCCAUCCCAGACCUCCUGUGAGCUAAGGCUCCUGGGGUCUAUCCUGGGUGGGAAGAGCCAAGGAGGAGAGAGAUGUGUUUCAGGCCCACAUAUGUGUACUGGAGGUGAAGCUGUGGGUCUAGGAACUGAGGCUCACCAUUGUCCUGUUGCCUAUUGUCUUUUAACUCUCUAGUGUUAAAUAUUAACAGUUAAAUGAUGGUGUCAGAGUUUUGUGUACCUGGUUGGCAGACCUUUCCCCAGUGUGGAUGCGCAUGUGGAUUAACUUAUGGAAGCCUUUGUGUGCAUUUGUUUUCAGAAGUUAGCUGAGAAUGUUAUGUGAAUGGAAUCUUCUUAAUCCAGAAGGUCAUAUUUAUAAUACAUACCCAUUUACUUAGUGAAUUGUUUAAAGUUGUUAACAUUUGUUUAAAUUUUUUUACUAUAGCAUUUAUGCAAUGGUUUACAGAAUUCAUGGAGUUAUUUUUUAUCAGUAUGAGAUUAAAACUUUGAAAUUUA